UUAGAAACCAGUCCCCGAGGCUUUGCAGAGCAGGAGCCCUCCGUGGCAGUGCUUGGGUAUCGAGGCUCUGAGGCUCCGGUCUCACCUCUCCACGGGCUCGAAGGGAAACUCUCCUGAUGCCAGCAGUCGCAAAGGGCCGACUAUGAAGAUGAAACCCCAGGCGGAGACGGGGGAAGCAGCACGGGAUCCCAGCCUCAGGCCUGCACGGACGGUGUUGGUUGGGGGUACCUUGGGACAGAGGGAGUGCAGAGCAGAGAAAACCUACCUGUGCAACUGAGAAGGCCGCUCAGGCCACGGGGACAGGGCAGGAAUGCUCUCAGGAGUGUCCCCUGAACCUGAACUUGAUUUCACGCCAUCACCUUCCACCUCUUAACCAGCAUCUCCUGGACAGUCAGCCGAGUGUUUCCAUGAUACCAGCCAUACCUGAUGCCAGGAGACUCGCUACACUUGGAAGCUCUUCAAGGCAUGCUUAUCUUUGUGAACUGAAUCUUGGAGAAGCAGGAUUGAAAAUAAGAGCUAUCUUUGAGGCUCUAGCACCUACAAGAGACACCCUCCCUCUCCACCAUGGAUCACCUGUCUCACCCGUGUGAGUCUCCACACAGAAACCAGUCAUGGCCCUGCCUUUGCCCCCCUUGAAAUCACCCAAGAGGAUGCUUCAAACUCAGGCAAGCACAACUGAUACUCACUCUGCAUGCAACAGCAGGGGAGUGACCUUACAAGAAACUAAUGGGCCUCACUUCCUGAGAAUCACUGUCAGAGCCCAUAACAUAAGAUAAAUCACAGCCAAGGAUUUUUGAAAAGUUUCCUGAUGAGAGAACCAUGACCUUUUCAAGGGUAGUGAUGGAUUGAUCAGGGCAAGCAAUAGGUAGAUUUUUUAAAACAAGCCUGGCACAAAAACAAUGAUAUAUAUCUACCAAAGUUGGCUAGAAUACCUGGCUGAUGUCCCAGUCAGGAAACACAGGAAAAGGUUACAUCUGUAGAAAAAAAACAGCUUGUUAAGCAAAACAAUGCAGUCAAAAACCAAGCUCACUGUAAGAAAUGCCAUGUGGGCCAGUGGGGACGGCCAUGCCGAAAGCGCUCAGUGCUCCUGAAGCUGGGUGGCAGGUGUUUUCACACACAAAGGCCUUCCUUGCUCGGGCCAUGGGAUAAGCCUUUGAGUGGAGACCUAGCAAGGAGCUUUGAAGUCUGCGUUGGGGGUGGAAGGUGGCAAUCCCAUUAGACAGCUCUCCCUGGUGUGAAUUUAUGAAGCCCCAUGCAGACUGUGACUUUUAAAAUAAUCAUUUAGUUGGUUCUAGCACAUAUCGCAGGUUUCAUUACAGGCUGCCCCUUAACGAGCAUUGUAACCUGGAGGAAAGAAUCCAAAUUCUUUAGUCACCACCUAACUCCACAUUCAUUACCUUGUUGCCCAGGGUGGAGUCCAAAAGCAGCAACUAUGUUUAUUUCUCCAUAGAAAAUAAAUGUUCACCAAGGCACGUCUG
This 1478-nucleotide long non-coding RNA is filed under the name Homo sapiens (human). RNAcentral's name for it is "HSALNT0402810". The record is from RNAcentral. Lineage: Eukaryota; Metazoa; Chordata; Mammalia; Primates; Hominidae.